Non-coding RNA from Cherax quadricarinatus, 1488 nucleotides. The record is from RefSeq and is a predicted model, not a curated record. NCBI's taxonomy places the organism in Eukaryota, Metazoa, Arthropoda, Malacostraca, Decapoda, Parastacidae.
CUCCUGCUGAGAGUGAGCACUUCACUACACACACCGUCGCGGAGCACGGCUGCAGCCCUCUUAUGAAGAAACAAUAAUACCCUCCGCAUAGACGAUGCUAAGAUCUUUAUCUACUCUUUCAAAUCCUGUCAAGACCUCGUGUGGUUAUGUCUCCCCUUUCUUCUCCCGUCAGGCAACAUGGGAAACUAACGUUUUCAACCUCUCGUCAUAGUCCACAUUGGCUAACUAUGGCGGCCAUAAUGGCCUAGCUGACAUCAGUGACAUACUACUACAUAGAAAGCCGCUUAUUAGGUGGAGCAUUUCGGGCAAAUUAAGUCGGUAUUGUCCCAUGAUGCGAUCCACACCAGACCAGUCGACUAACACCCAGGUACCCAUUAUUACUAAAGGGUGAACAUAGACAAUCGGUGUAAGGAAACACGCCCAGUGUUUCAACCCUCGCUUAACUGUUGUCUUUUGCUGCAUUUUUAAUACUUUCUAUGAUCUCUGGUACCAGAGGAUCGGCGGUUGGUCGACCCUGAUUGGAGACUCUUGUACUUCAAUUUCCUCGUUGCUUCCCACCGAGCGAGUGCUUCCCACCGAGCGAGUGCUUCCCACCGAGCGAGUGCUUCCCACCGAGCGAGUGCUUCCCACCGAGCGAGUGCUCCCUACCGAGCGAGUGCUGCCCAGCACUACACACUGCUACCAGGCUACUGAAUAUUAAAACUAAUCUAAAUAAUAAUUUGAUUAGUUUAAAAUUGCCCAGCUCGUGCCGUGUGGUAACGACACACACACACACACACACACACACACACACACACACACACACACACACACGUAGCCAUGAAUUUCUUGUUUCUAACAAACAAUUCAGUGUCUCUACUGCGUUUAUUUUUUUUAGAGACAUUACAAAUAUUUCUAUUAGUUUUAAAAUCCAGUUUUAUUUUGCCGACUUUUUUUCCAUGUAUCAGCUUUUUAAAACUGAAAUCAGCUUUAUCUUAGCUUCCUCAGUACCGUGGCCUUCAUAGUCCAUGUCUCAGUAAUGUGUUUAUAUCACAUACUGGUUUAGAAAACAUAGAAAGCGUUUCGGUCCCAUGACCGAAACGUUUUCUAAUAAACAUGUCCUAGUGUUUGUUUACGUGUCCUUCUAAACUAAUUUGUAGGUAUCUAUUACCAAGUUUAUACCGUCUCACUUAGCCUCCAGGAAUGUAUGAAAAGAAGUCUUACAAUUUAAUUAAGCUCUUCCAGUUUGGUGCCUGGAAGCUGUUGAAGAGUUCUUAUCCAAGAAAUUAGAGCAACCCUCCCUCGGAUCAAACUUGAUUGCCCUCCCACCCUUAUUCGCAAUGGUCUGUAUGAUCCUAACGGUUUUAUCGCUUCCUUAGGAAUAAAAAAAUUCGUCGUAAAUUAAGAGGUAGUAUUACGAAGCAUCUUAAACGGUCGUGAAAUUGUAGAUUAUUCCAUUCCGAUAUUCUCCAGACGUGACCAGUUCACGAGUGCUGUUCCAUAACUCUC